CAGUAGCCGCGGUAAUACGAAGGGGGCUAGCGUUGCUCGGAAUGACUGGGCGUAAAGGGCGCGUAGGCGGCACACACAGUCAGGCGUGAAAUUCCUGGGCUUAACCUGGGGGCUGCGCUUGAUACUUGGUUGCUUGAGUGGGGAAGAGGGUCGUGGAAUUCCCAGUGUAGAGGUGAAAUUCGUAGAUAUUGGGAAGAACACCGGUGGCGAAGGCGGCGACCUGGUCCUUGACUGACGCUGAGGCGCGAAAGCGUGGGGAGCAAACAGGAUUAGAUACCCCCGUAGUCCCUGUCUCUUAUAC
RNAcentral lists this ribosomal RNA (301 nucleotides) under uncultured bacterium. RNAcentral's name for it is "partial 16S ribosomal RNA". It matches the Rfam family "Bacterial small subunit ribosomal RNA", at positions 509 to 807 of the family's 1533-position model. The record is from RNAcentral.